AGUGCGAGGGCAUAUANCCCUCGCUUUUGUACACCGUAAGGUGGUGUACGAAUAAGAGCUGGGCAAGACCGGUGCCAGCCGCCGCGGUAAUACCGGCAGCUCGAGUGAUGGCCGAUCUUAUUGGGCCUAAAGCGUCCGUAGCUGGCCAGGCAAAUCCGUUGGGAAAUCUGCUCGCUUAACGAGCAGGCGUCCAGCGGAAACUGCUUGGCUUGGGACCGGAGGACCUGAGGGGUACGUCCGGGGUAGGAGUGAAAUCCUGUAAUCCUGGACGGACCACCGGUGGCGAAAGCGCCUCAGGAGGACGGAUCCGACAGUGAGGGACGAAAGCUAGGGUCUCGAACCGGAUUAGAUACCCGGGUAGUCCUAGCUGUAAACGAUGCUCGCUAGGUGUGGCGCAGGCUACGAGCCUGCGCUGUGCCGUAGGGAAGCCGAGAAGCGAGCCGCCUGGGAAGUACGUCUGCAAGGAUGAAACUUAAAGGAAUUGGCGGGGGAGCACUACAACCGGAGGAGCCUGCGGUUUAAUUGGACUCAACGCCGGACAUCUCACCGGCUCCGACAGUAGUAAUGACGGUCAGGUUGAUGACCUUACCCGACGCUACUGAGAGGAGGUGCAUGGCCGCCGUCAGCUCGUACCGUGAGGCGUCCUGUUAAGUCAGGCAACGAGCGAGACCCGCACCCCUAAUUGCCAGCAGUACCCUUUGGGUAGCUGGGUACAUUAGGGGGACUGCCGCUGCCAAAGCGGAGGAAGGAACGGGCAACGGUAGGUCAGUAUGCCCCGAAUGAGCCGGGCAACACGCGGGCUACAAUGAUUGAGACAAUGGGAAGCCACUCCG
RNAcentral lists this ribosomal RNA (833 nucleotides) under haloarchaeon 0Ct41. RNAcentral's name for it is "bacterial SSU rRNA". It matches the Rfam family "Archaeal small subunit ribosomal RNA", at positions 384 to 1213 of the family's 1478-position model. Lineage: Archaea; Methanobacteriati; Methanobacteriota; Halobacteria; Halobacteriales. The record is from RNAcentral.